Molecule: ribosomal RNA, 560 nt
Filed under: uncultured bacterium
Lineage: Bacteria
Description: bacterial SSU rRNA
Rfam family: Bacterial small subunit ribosomal RNA
Source: RNAcentral
UCGAGCGAGAAAGUUCCCUUCGGGGAGCGAGUAAAGCGGCGAACGGGUGAGUAACACGUAGGUAACCUACCCUCGAGUCCGGGAUAACCUGUCGAAAGACGGGCUAAUACUGGAUACGACUGCGGGAGCGUCAGCCCCCGCGGUGAAAGGUGGCCUCUGCUUGCAAGCUAUCACUCAUGGAUGGGCCUGCGGACCAUUAGCUAGUUGGUGAGGUAACGGCUCACCAAGGCGAAGAUGGUUAGCUGGUCUGAGAGGACGGCCAGCCACACUGGGACUGAAACACGGCCCAGACUCCUACGGGAGGCAGCAGUGAGGAACAUUGCGCAAUGGGCGAAAGCCUGACGCAGCGACGCCGCGUGGGUGAUGAAGGCCUUCGGGUCGUAAAGCCCUGUCGGGGGAGAAGAAAUCGUGCCGACCUAACACGUCGGUGCCUUGACGGUACCCCCUAAGGAAGCACCGGCUAACUCCGUGCCAGCAGCCGCGGUAAUACGGAGGGUGCGAGCGUUGUUCGGAAUCACUGGGCGUAAAGCGCGUGCAGGCGGUCGGAUAAGUUCGAUGUG